GACGAACGCUGGCGGCGUGCUUAACACAUGCAAGUCGAACGAAGAGCGAUGGAAGCUUGCUUCUAUCAGUCUUAGUGGCGAACGGGUGAGUAACGCGUAAUCAACCUGCCCUUCAGAGGGGGACAACAGAUGGAAACGACUGCUAAUACCGCAUACGAUCUAACCUCGGCAUCGAGGAUAGAUGAAAGGUGGCCUCUAUUUAUAAGCUAUCACUGAAGGAGGGGAUUGCGUCUGAUUAGCUAGUUGGAGGGGUAACGGCCCACCAAGGCGAUGAUCAGUAGCCGGUCUGAGAGGAUGAGCGGCCACAUUGGGACUGAGACACGGCCCAGACUCCUACGGGAGGCAGCAGUGGGGAAUCUUCCGCAAAUGGACGAAAGUCUGACGGAGCAACGCCGCGUGAGUGAUGACGGCCUUCGGGUUGUAAAGCUCUGUUAAUCGGGACGAAAGGCCCUUCUUGCGAAUAGUUAGAAGGUUUGACGGUACCGGAAUAGAAAGCCACGGCUAACUACGUGCCAGCAGCCGCGGUAAUACGUAGGUGGCAAGCGUUGUUCCGGAAUUAUUGAGCGUAAAGCGCGCGCAGGCGGAUCGGUCAGUCUGUUCUUAAAAGUUCGGGGCUUAACCCCGUGAUGGGAUGGGAACUGCCAAUCUAGAGUAUUCGGAGAGGAAAGUGGAAUUCCUAGUGUAGCGGUGAAAUGCGUAGAUAUUAGGAGGAACACCCGUGGCGAAGGCGACUUUCUGGACGAAAACUGACGCUGAGGCGCGAAAGCCAGGGGAGCGAACGGGAUUAGAUACCCCGGUAGACCUGGCCGUAAACGAUGGGUACUAGGGGUAGGAGGUAUCGACCCCCUUCUGUGCCGGAGUUAACGCAAUAAGUACCCCGCCUGGGGAGUACGACCGCAAGGUUGAAACUCAAAGGAAUUGACGGGGGCCCGCACAAGCGGUGGAGUAUGUGGUUUAAUUCGACGCAACGUGAAGAACCUUACCAGGUCUUGACAUUGAUGGACAGAACUAGAGAUAGUUCCUCUUCUUCGGAAGCCAGAAAACAGGUGGUGCACGGUUGUCGUCUGCUCGUGUCGUGAGAUGUUGGGUUAAGUCCCGCAAUGAGCGCAACCCCUAUCUUAUGUUGCCAGCACUUUGGGUGGGAACUCAUGAGAGACUGCCGCAGACAAUGCGGAGGAAGGCGGGGAUGACGUCAAAUCAUCAUGCCCCUUAUGACCUGGGCUACACACGUACUACAAUGGGAGUUAAUAGACGGAAGCAAUACCGCGAGGUGGAGCAAACCCGAGAAACACUCUCUCAGUUCGGAUCGUAGGCUGCAACUCGCCUACGUGAAGUCGGAAUCGCUAGUAAUCGCAGGUCAGCAUACUGCGGUGAAUACGUUCCCGGGCCUUGUACUCACCGCCCGUCA
Molecule: ribosomal RNA, 1408 nt
Filed under: uncultured organism
Description: 16S ribosomal RNA
Rfam family: Bacterial small subunit ribosomal RNA
Source: RNAcentral